AUUACAUUGGGUCAUGCAUGAGGCAAUCAUCCAACCCGUAAUCAAGUGAGUGAAUUUGCCCGGGAGGUGUCAUUCUUCAAGAGAUGUGGCAGCGCUGGGCUGAGAAGCCCCUGAGGUCUGGCCGCAUGCAGCAUUUGGGCUCUGAGAUGCUCCUAGAACUUAUUGGGGGCUUCCAUCUUUCUUCUCCCAUGAGAUGG
Molecule: long non-coding RNA, 197 nt
Organism: Neogale vison (American mink)
Lineage: Eukaryota; Metazoa; Chordata; Mammalia; Carnivora; Mustelidae
Exons: 3
Source: RefSeq, a predicted model, not a curated record